UGGGCCAACCCUCUGAACUGAAACAUCUUAGUAGGAGGAGGAAAAGAAAGAAACAUCGAUUUCCUAAGUAGCGGCGAGCGAACGGGAAACAGCCUAAACCACAAUUGUUACGGCAACUGUGGGGUUGUAGGACUGCAAUAUUCAAAUGACUGUGAACUGGAAUGUUCUGGAAAGUUCAUCCAUAGAGAGUGAAAGACUCGUACAGGCAAGCACGUCAGGCGAUAGCAGUAUCCUGAGUAGGGCGGGACACGAGGAAUCCUGUCUGAAUCCGCCGGGACCACCCGGUAAGGCUAAAUACUCCCAAGAGACCGAUAGUGAACCAGUACCGUGAGGGAAAGGUGAAAAGAACCCCGAACAGGGGAGUGAAAUAGAACCUGAAACCAUACGCUUACAACCUGUCGGAGCGGCUUCGUGCCGUGACGGCGUGCCUAUUGAAUAAUGAGCCUACGAGUUACUAAUCACUGGCAAGGUUAAGUGCACGGAUGCACGGAGCCGAAGCGAAAGCGAGUCUGAAUAGGGCGUUUAGUCAGUGGUUGUAGACGCGAAACCUUGCGAUCUACCCUUGAGCAGGUUGAAGGUUGGGUAAAACCAACUGGAGGACCGAACGAAUAAGCGUUGAAAAGCUUCUCGAUGACUUGAGGGUAGGGGUGAAAGGCUAAUCAAGCUGGGAAAUAGCUCGUACUCCCCGAAAUGCCUUUAGGGGCAGCGUUGUAAUUAAGAGUCUACUGGAGGUAGAGCUACUGAUUGGAUGCGGGGGCUUCACCGCCUACCAAAUCCUGACAAACUCCGAAUGCCAGUAGUAUGAUUUACAGCAGUGAGCGACCGGGUGCUAAUGUCCGGUUACGAGAGUGGAACAACACAGACCAGCAACUAAGGUCCCCAAGAGUAUACUAAGUUGAUCUAACGAUGUUUUGCUGCAGAGACAGCUAGGAUGUUAGCUUGGAAGCAGCUAUUCAUUCAAAGAGUGCGUAACAGCUCACUAGUCGAGCGGCAAAGCGUGGAUAAUAAACGGGCAUCAAGUAUACCACCGAAGUUCUGGGCACGAAAGUGCGGUAGGGGAGCAUUCCAUUCCGCGUUGAAGCCGAACCGUGAGGUUUGGUGGAGUGUAUGGAAAAGCAAAUGUAGGCAUGAGUAACGAUAAUGCGGGAGAGUAACCCGCACACCGCAAGACCAAGGUUUCCUGAUCAACGCUAAUCGGAUCAGGGUUAGUCGGGUCCUAAGGGUAAGCCGAACGGUGAUCUCGAUGGAUAAUCGGUUAAUAUUCCGAUACUGACAUAUACCUCGAUGGAGAGACGAAGGAACGUAAGUGCCGCCACCUGACGGAAUAGGUGGUUAAAGGGCUUAGGUAUAGGGGCAGAUUAAGAGUUAGUCCUUGCUGAAACCUGACAGUACAGAGAGCCUACGGGCAAUUUGAUAGUGCACCCAAGUCGACUUCCGAGAAAAUCUUCUAAGUUAUAGUAUAUGUCACCCGUACCGUAAACCGACACAGGUGGUCGAGGAGAGUAUCCUAAGGUGCUCGAGUGAAUCACGGUUAAGGAACUAGGCAAAUUAACCCCGUAACUUCGGGAAAAGGGGUCCCAUCGCGAGGUGGGCGCAGCGAAGAGGUCCAGGCGACUGUUUAUCAAAAACACAGGGCUCUGCAAAUUCGAAAGAAGACGUAUAGGGCCUGACACCUGCCCGGUGCUGGAAGGUUAAGAGGGGAUGUCAUCGCAAGAGAAGCAUUGAAUCGAAGCCCCAGUAAACGGCGGCCGUAACUAUAACGGUCCUAAGGUAGCGAAAUUCCUUGUCGGGUAAGUUCCGACCUGCACGAAUGGUGUAACGAUCUGGACACUGUCUCAACCGUGAGCUCGGUGAAAUUGUAGUCCCGGUGAUGAUGCCGGGUACCCGCAACGGGACGAAAAGACCCCGUGAACCUUUACUAUAGCUUAACGCUGAAUUUGGGUACACAAUGUGUAGGAUAGGCAGGAGACUACGAAGCGGGCACGCCAGUGUUCGUGGAGUCGACGUUGAAAUACUGCCCUUUGUGUACUUGAGUUCUAACCCUCGAGAGGGGACACCGUUUGGUGGGUAGUUUGACUGGGGUGGUCGCCUCCAAAAGAGUAACGGAGGCUUCCCAAGGUACCCUCAGCACGAAUGGUAACCGUGCGUAGAGUGCAAUAGCAUAAGGGUGCUUGACUGUGAGACCAACAAGUCGAUCAGGUGCGAAAGCAGGGUAUAGUGAUCCGGUGGUUCUGCGUGGACUGGCCAUCGCUCAAAGGAUAAAAGGUACUCCGGGGAUAACAGGCUGAUC
Molecule: ribosomal RNA, 2290 nt
Filed under: human metagenome
Description: bacterial LSU rRNA
Rfam family: Bacterial large subunit ribosomal RNA
Source: RNAcentral